RNAcentral lists this ribosomal RNA (880 nucleotides) under uncultured bacterium. RNAcentral describes it as "bacterial SSU rRNA". It matches the Rfam family "Bacterial small subunit ribosomal RNA", at positions 8 to 867 of the family's 1533-position model. The record is from RNAcentral.
AGAGUUUGAUCCUGGCUCAGAACGAACGCUGGCGGCGUGGAUAAGACAUGCAAGUCGAACGGGAUUACUUCUGUAGCAAUACAAAAGUAAUUUAGUGGCGAACGGGUGCGUAACACGUGGGCAAUCUGCCGAGAAGUGGGGGAUAGCUCGCCGAAAGGCGAAUUAAUACCGCAUAUGAUCAGCUAAGACAUCUUAGCGACAUCAAAGCCGGGGCAACCUGGCGCUUUUUGAGGAGCCCGCGGCCUAUCAGCUAGUUGGUGAGGUAAUGGCUCACCAAAGCUAUGACGGGUAGCUGGUCUGAGAGGACGACCAGUCACACUGGAACUGAGACACGGUCCAGACACCUACGGGUGGCAGCAGUCGAGAAUUUUUCUCAAUGGGGGCAACCCUGAAGGAGCGACGCCGCGUGGAGGAUGAAGGCUUUCGGGUUGUAAACUCCUGUCAUUUGAGAACAAGUGUAGCCAAGUAACUACUGGCUACUUGAUAGUAUCAGAAGAGGAAGAGACGGCUAACUCUGUGCCAGCAGCCGCGGUAAUACAGAGGUCUCAAGCGUUGUUCGGAUUCAUUGGGCGUAAAGGGUGCGUAGGUGGCGGGGUAAGUCAGGUGUGAAAUUUCGGAGCUUAACUCCGAAACUGCAUUUGAUACUGCCUUGCUCGAGGACUGGAGAGGAGACUGGAAUUCACGGUGUAGCAGUGAAAUGCGUAGAGAUCGUGAGGAAGACCAGUGGCGAAGGCGGGUCUCUGGACAGUUCCUGACACUGAGGCACGAAGGCCAGGGGAGCAAACGGGAUUAGAUACCCCGGUAGUCCUGGCAGUAAACGGUGCACGUUUGGUGUGGGGGGAUUCGACCCCUUCCGCGCCGGAGCUAACGCGUUAAACGU